AAGUCGAGCGACAGAAAGGAGCUUGCUCCUUUGACGUUAGCGGCGGACGGGUGAGUAACACGUGGGCAACCUACCCUAUAGUUUGGGAUAACUCCGGGAAACCGGGGCUAAUACCGAAUAAUCUCUUUUGCUUCAUGGUGAAAGACUGAAAGACGGUUUCGGCUGUCGCUAUAGGAUGGGCCCGCGGCGCAAUAGCUAGUUGGUGAGGUAACGGCUCACCAAGGCGACGAUGCGUAGCCGACCUGAGAGGGUGAUCGGCCACACUGGGACUGAGACACGGCCCAGACUCCUACGGGAGGCAGCAGUAGGGAAUCUUCCACAAUGGGCGAAAGCCUGAUGGAGCAACGCCGCGUGAGUGAAGAAGGUUUUCGGAUCGUAAAACUCUGUUGUAAGGGAAGAACAAGUACAGUAGAAACUGGCUGUACCUUGACGGUACCUUAUUAGAAAGCCACGGCUAACUACGUGCCAGCAGCCGCGGUAAUACGUACGUGGCAAGCGUUGUCCGGAAUUAUUGGGCGUAAAGCGCGCGCAGGCGGUCCUUUAAGUCUGAUGUGAAAGCCCACGGCUCAACCGUGGAGGGUCAUUGGAAACUGGGGGA
RNAcentral lists this ribosomal RNA (598 nucleotides) under Lysinibacillus sp. RNAcentral's name for it is "bacterial SSU rRNA". It matches the Rfam family "Bacterial small subunit ribosomal RNA", at positions 59 to 640 of the family's 1533-position model. The record is from RNAcentral. Lineage: Bacteria; Bacillati; Bacillota; Bacilli; Caryophanales; Bacillaceae.